Molecule: unclassified non-coding RNA, 382 nt
Filed under: soil metagenome
Description: partial contains 5.8S ribosomal RNA, internal transcribed spacer 2, and large subunit ribosomal RNA
Rfam family: 5.8S ribosomal RNA (bases 1-120)
Source: RNAcentral
GAUGAAGAACGUAGCGAAAUGCGAUAAGUAAUGUGAAUUGCAGAAUUCAGUGAAUCAUCGAAUCUUUGAACGCACCUUGCGCUCCUUGGUAUUCCGAGGAGCAUGCCUGUUUGAGUGUCAUUAAUAUAUCAACCUCUUCAGCUUAUGCUUGUUGAGUGUUGGAUGGUGGGGGUUUGCUGGUGUCUUAUGAAGUCAGCUCCUCUGAAAUGCAUUAGCGGAACAAUUUGUUGACCGUUCAUUGGUGUGAUAAAAAUAUCUACGCUAUUGACGUCAGUCAGUUCAGCUUCUAACAGUCCAUUGACUUGGACAAAUUUUUCAUUAAUGUGACCUCAAAUCAGGUAGGACUACCCGCUGAACUUAAGCAUAUCAAUAAGCCGGAGGA